GCUGCUUAUGUACUAUUUUCCAAA
This 24-nucleotide non-coding RNA is filed under the name Arabidopsis thaliana (thale cress). Lineage: Eukaryota; Viridiplantae; Streptophyta; Magnoliopsida; Brassicales; Brassicaceae. The record is from RNAcentral.